AACGAACGCUGGCGGCAUGCCUAACACAUGCAAGUCGAACGAGACCUUUGGGUCUAGUGGCGCACGGGUGCGUAACGCGUGGGAACCUGCCCUUAGGUUCGGAAUAACUCCCCGAAAGGGGUGCUAAUUCCGGAUAAUGUCUUCGGACCAAAGAUUUAUCGCCUUUGGAUGGGCCCGCGUUGGAUUAGCUAGUUGGUAGGGUAAAAGCCUACCAAGGCGACGAUCCAUAGCUGGUCUGAGAGGAUGAUCAGCCACACUGGGACUGAGACACGGCCCAGACUCCUACGGGAGGCAGCAGUGGGGAAUAUUGGACAAUGGGCGAAAGCCUGAUCCAGCAAUGCCGCGUGAGUGAUGAAGGCCUUAGGGUUGUAAAGCUCUUUUACCCGGGAUGAUAAUGACAGUACCGGGAGAAUAAGCUCCGGCUAACUCCGUG
RNAcentral lists this ribosomal RNA (433 nucleotides) under uncultured bacterium. RNAcentral describes it as "partial 16S ribosomal RNA". It matches the Rfam family "Bacterial small subunit ribosomal RNA", at positions 29 to 507 of the family's 1533-position model. The record is from RNAcentral.